AGCGAAAGCCGUGAGUGCGUGUCUGUCAGGGCCGUGUUUUUUCAUAGACGUGCUAUAUAUGAAAGUCCGAGGGAUCCACUUGGUACCCUCAGUUGAUUUACAAACCUCAACUCUCUUGCAGCUCAUUUUAGUUGUUCCUCAUUCUUUCUUCGACCAUGUUUCGAAUGAUGGUUGCUCUUCUCACUCUCAAUCUAAUUUCAACUCAAAUCACAGCUGAUGAUCAGUUUUCUUGUUGCAUGGAUGGAAUGAAGAAACUUCGAGACAUCGACCUCUGCAAAGCUCCUUGUUGUCCAGGCUAUUAUGAGGUCAUUGAACAGCCUCCGCUUCUUUCUUUUGUGGUUUACUGCAAAUCCCUUCCCAAACGAAAAUUGCCCUGGAGCCAUUUGAAACUGGAAUCGGCACAAAAGAAGGCUUCUACCAGGACUUACGGGGAGCCAUUGAAUAGAUACUUCAUUGGAUAAACGUCCAGGGUCCAGAAAAUAAACAACAACAACGAGAUCCUCAUUCUGGCGUUGACGCCCACUGUUCGGCGUAUCCAUUAAUUGAAAUCUUUUAUUUUUCUUUUUAAUCGGGAACAAUAAAAGUGAUGGUAUCAAA
Molecule: long non-coding RNA, 597 nt
Organism: Tigriopus californicus
Lineage: Eukaryota; Metazoa; Arthropoda; Copepoda; Harpacticoida; Harpacticidae
Exons: 2
Source: RefSeq, a predicted model, not a curated record